Molecule: small RNA, 2689 nt
Filed under: Mytilus galloprovincialis (Mediterranean mussel)
Lineage: Eukaryota; Metazoa; Mollusca; Bivalvia; Mytilida; Mytilidae
Source: RNAcentral
AUGGAACUAGCACUUUUAAAACGAAAAGUAAACAAAGUUGACAAUUACGAACAUGAUGAUGCUCGUGAUAGCAGUUCUGACGAUGGUUACGUUUUUGGAUUACGAGAAAAUACUGUGAAUAAAGUACAGAAAGGACAACCGAAAAUCAACGUGAAAAUCAAUAAUUCUAAUGUGGAUAUUUUAAUUGACACAGGAUCAAGUAUUAAUGUUAUUGAUGAAAGCACAUUCGAGAACAUCAAGUGUAAACCCAAACUUUCUCACGCCGACACUAAAGUCUUCGCAUAUGGUUCAGAUAAAAACUUGAAAUUAAUGGGAAAAUUUCACGCUACAAUAGAGACUGACCAUAAAAUAACAACCGCACCGGUGUAUGUGAUGAAAGGAAGAUACGGGAAUUUAUUGUGCUACGAUACAUCUGUUGACUUAAGCAUAGUGCCAGUCAUUUCUUCAGUAGCAGAUAAACAUGAAAUAUUAUGCAAUAAAUAUAGCGAUGUGUUCAAUGGAAUUGGAAAAUUAAAAGAUGAAAAAGUGAAAAUUCAUAUUGAUGGAAGUGUAAAACCAGUAAUACAACCACAUAGGCGUAUUCCGUUUCACAUUCGCAAGCAAGUAGAAGCAGAACUCGAGAAACUCGAAAAACAGGAUAUAAUUGAAAAGGUGGAUGGACCAACACCUUGGGUGUCCCCGAUAGUUGUGGCCCCUAAACCGAAAAACAAGAACGAAAUUCGAUUAUGCGUGGAUAUGAGGGAACCGAACAAAGCUAUUUUGCGUUCACGUCAUAUUACACCAACACUUGAUGACAUGAUCUUGGAUUUAAACGGAUCUAAAGUAUUCUCGAAAAUGGACCUUCGAAGUGGAUAUCAUCAAUUGGAGUUAAACGAAGAAUCCCGGAACAUCACAACCUUCACGACACACGUAGGAUUACGUAGAUACAAACGACUCAGUUUUGGUGUUUCUUCAGCCGCAGAGUUAUUUCAAAACACACUGAGUAAUGCACUGGAAGGAUUAGAUGGAGUCCGAAAUAUAUCCGAUGAUAUAAUCGUAUUUGGAAGGAACCAGGACGAACAUGAUAAACGAUUGGAAAAAUUAUUUGCACGUCUUAAAGAGAAGAACUUGACAUUAAAUAAGGCAAAAUGUGAAUUUAAUAAGAACAAACUUGAAUUCUAUGGUCACAUUUUUAGUGCAGAUGGCAUAUCAGCCGAUCCAAGAAAAAUAAGCGCUAUCAGGAACACGACAAUACCGAAAGACGUAGGUGAAAUUCGUAGUUUCUUAGCAAUGACCUAAUUAUGUUGGACGUUUUUAUUCCAAAUUACUCAACUAUUAACUGAACCGCUCCGCAGAUUAACAAAGCAGGAUUCCAAGUGGGAAUGGACAUCUGAACAACAGGAAUCAUUUGACAAGCUAAAGAAUGAACUUGUUGCUGACCGUGUGAUGUCAUACUUUGACCCUAACAAAGAAACAAUGUUGAUAGUAGAUGCAAGUCCCGUUGGAUUAGCUGGAUUAUUAACACAAAAUGGGAAAAUAAUCGCAUAUGCAAGCCGAUCAUUGACAGACGUUGAAACACGCUAUUCCGCAAACAGAAAAGGAAGCAUUAGCAAUUGUAUGGGCAAUUGAACAUUUUCACCUUUAUUUGUACGGACAAUCAUUUACAUUGGUAUCCGAUCACCAACCGCUUGAAACUAUAUUCAACAGUCCAAAGGCAAAAACACCAGCACGCAUUGAACGAUGGAGAUUAAGAUUACAGGGAUACAAUUUCAAAGUACAGUACAAACCAGGAAAGGUGAACGCAGCUGAUUAUUUAUCAAGACAUCCGACCCCGAAUACAUCAAUCGCAUGUAAACAUUCUCAAUUAGCUGAAGAAUAUGUCCGAUACUUAACUGACAACGCUGUGCCGAAGGCAAUGACCCUUAAUGAAAUAGCUGACAGUACACAAAAAGAUAAAGAUCUACAAACUGUUAUUACUGCAUUAAAAUCAAACAGGUGGGACAAGUAUGAGAGUAAUACGCUUGAUACAUUCUCAAGAUUACGAUACGAAUUAACAGUCGUUCCCGUUAAUGAUAUGGAGAUCAUACUUCAUGAUAAUAGAAUUGUCAUUCCGAAAGAUUUACAGAUGCGUGUAAUUGACCUUGCACAUGAAGGGCACCAGGGCAUAGUACGUACAAAACAGUUGUUACGUGAAAAGGUAUACUUCCCUGGAAUAGACAAACUUGUAGAACAAACGUGUAAAUCAUGUAUACCAUGUUUAGCGUCAACCCCGAAAAAUGUUUUCGAACCGUUACAAAUGUCUGAGAUACCGAAUAAUGUAUGGGAGAAUCUCAGCAUGGACUUUUGUGGACCAUUUCCGAAUGGAUAUUACGUUAUGGUAAUAAUUGAUGAAUACUCAAGGUAUCCUGUAAUAGAAACCUUAACCAGUUUAACCGCAAAAUCCGUCAUACCGCUAUUAGACAAAACUUUCUCAAUUUUUGGAAUACCGAAAGAACUGAAAACAGACAACGGACCGCCGUUUAAUUCAGGAGAGUUCCGAAAUUUUGCAGAUAACAUGGGUUUUAAGCACCGCAAAAUAACUCCGUUAUGGCCUCGCGCUAACGCGGAAAGUGAAAGAUUCAUGAGAACUAUAGGAAAAGCAAUUCGUGCAGCUCAAACGGAACAUCGUAGUUGGAGAGCAAGAAAUACACACAUUUCUUCGCAAUUAUAG